Molecule: ribosomal RNA, 460 nt
Filed under: uncultured bacterium
Lineage: Bacteria
Description: partial 16S ribosomal RNA
Rfam family: Bacterial small subunit ribosomal RNA
Source: RNAcentral
CCUACGGGAGGCUGCAGUGAGGAAUAUUGGUCAAUGGACGAGAGUCUGAACCAGCCAAGUAGCGUGAAGGAUGACUGCCCUAUGGGUUGUAAACUUCUUUUAUAUGGGAAUAAAACGUUCCACGUGUGGGAUUUUGUAUGUACCAUAUGAAUAAGGAUCGGCUAACCCCGUGCCAGCAGCCGCGGUAAUACGGAGGCACCGAGCGUUAUCCGGAUUUAUUGGGUUUAAAGGGAGCGUAGGUGGAUUGUGAAGUUAGUUGUGAAAGUUUGCGGCUCAACCGUAAAAUUGUAGUUGAAACUGGCAGUCGUGAGUACAGUCGAGGUGGGCGGAAUUCGUGGUGUAGCGGUGAAAUGCUUAGAUAUCACGAAGAACUCCGAUUGCGAAGGCAGUUCACUGGACUGCAACUGACACUGAGGCUCGAAAGUGUGGGUAUCAAACAGGAUUAGAUACCCGAGUAGUC